GAUGAACGCUGGCGGCGUGCUUAACACAUGCAAGUCGAACGGGAAACCUUUUAUUGAAGCUUCGGCAGAUUUAGCUGGUUUCUAGUGGCGGACGGGUGAGUAACGCGUGGGUAACCUGCCUUAUACAGGGGGAUAACAACCAGAAAUGGUUGCUAAUACCGCAUAAGCGCACAGGACCGCAUGGUCCGGUGUGAAAAACUCCGGUGGUAUAAGAUGGACCCGCGUUGGAUUAGCUAGUUGGCAGGGUAACGGCCUACCAAGGCGACGAUCCAUAGCCGGCCUGAGAGGGUGGACGGCCACAUUGGGACUGAGACACGGCCCAGACUCCUACGGGAGGCAGCAGUGGGGAAUAUUGCACAAUGGGGGAAACCCUGAUGCAGCGACGCCGCGUGAAGGAAGAAGUAUCUCGGUAUGUAAACUUCUAUCAGCAGGGAAGAUAGUGACGGUACCUGACUAAGAAGCCCCGGCUAACUACGUG
RNAcentral lists this ribosomal RNA (478 nucleotides) under uncultured bacterium. RNAcentral describes it as "partial 16S ribosomal RNA". It matches the Rfam family "Bacterial small subunit ribosomal RNA", at positions 28 to 507 of the family's 1533-position model. The record is from RNAcentral.